Molecule: ribosomal RNA, 497 nt
Filed under: uncultured bacterium
Lineage: Bacteria
Description: partial 16S ribosomal RNA
Rfam family: Bacterial small subunit ribosomal RNA
Source: RNAcentral
GAUGAACGCUGGCGGCGUGCCUAAUACAUGCAAGUCGAGCGAACAGACGAGGAGCUUGCUCCUCUGACGUUAGCGGCGGACGGGUGAGUAACACGUGGAUAACCUACCUAUAAGACUGGGAUAACUUCGGGAAACCGGAGCUAAUACCGGAUAACAUGUUGAACCGCAUGGUUCAACAGUGAAAGACGGUCUUGCUGUCACUUAUAGAUGGAUCCGCGCCGCAUUAGCUAGUCGGUAAGGUAACGGCUUACCAAGGCAACGAUGCGUAGCCGACCUGAGAGGGUGAUCGGCCAUACUGGAACUGAGACACGGUCCAGACUCCUACGGGAGGCAGCAGUAGGGAAUCUUCCGCAAUGGGCGAAAGCCUGACGGAGCAACGCCGCGUGAGUGAAGAAGGUCUUCGGAUCGUAAAACUCUGUUAUUAGGGAAGAACAAAUGUGUAAGUAACUAUGCACGUCUUGACGGUACCUAAUCAGAAAGCCACGGCUAACUACGUG